Molecule: long non-coding RNA, 950 nt
Filed under: Mytilus galloprovincialis (Mediterranean mussel)
Lineage: Eukaryota; Metazoa; Mollusca; Bivalvia; Mytilida; Mytilidae
Source: RNAcentral
AAGUGAAGCGUCAAAAUUGCACGGGUUCCGACUGAAGAGAUGAAAAUACUACGAAGCAAUGUGAUCGAUUACAGAAAGCUAAUUGCAAAGAUGAUCUUUAUGCCAUAAUAUAAAAAAUAACAUAAAAAAGCGAAAACAACAUUUUAGUGAAUCGAUAUUGACAUAAUUAAUUACCGUUAUUUGAGUAUAUGAAAAUAAAGAGAGAUGGUAUUGCCAAUAAGACAAGAGAAAGACUGACACAGAAAUUAAUAGCUUUAGGCCUUUCAACAUUUUGUUAAAGCCAUACAACAAAUUCAGCUCUUAUUUAAAAGGAAUGACAAAUUUAAGACAUUUCAAACGAGAAAAAUAUUAGCCUCAUUUAUGUUCAAUAUGAUAUUCAGCGACAUACGACAACCACUAGAUUUCCAGCUUCUUACUCAUAGUAAUACAAAUAUAUUUGUCACCACAUUUAUACAAAUGAUUAUGAGUCAGAUUUAAACAUACUUUUUUGGAUAGUCAACUUUAAUUUUACAUUGAGACUCUGAGAAACAAUUUCUAUUUGAAAAUAUGGAUAUUGUCUUGGGACUAUUAAUUAAAAAAAUAAUUUAUAUAUAUUUACUGUUUUGUUACCUUUCUUUAACAUGUACUUUCAUUAUUAGAGUCAAACUAUCAGCCAUUAUUACAAUAUAUUAUUAUAUUAUGUUUUAUAUACAUUGUGUAUUACCUGUUUUGUUUCCUCCCCCUUUUUACCAUAGUCUUUUAUAAGAGUCUUACCAAAAGACUAUAAUUUAUUAUAAUAUAAUAAUGUUUUAUUUACAUUUUUUACAUAUCUAUUGUUUUUUUAUCUUCCAUUUAACAUGUACUUUUAUCAGAGUUAUACUUUCAUACAUCAUUAUAAUUUAUUAUGAUAUAAUAGUGUUUUCUAUACAUUUUCAUAAAUAUUUACUGUUUUGUUACGUCUCCUUUACCAU